RNAcentral lists this ribosomal RNA (497 nucleotides) under uncultured bacterium. RNAcentral describes it as "partial 16S ribosomal RNA". It matches the Rfam family "Bacterial small subunit ribosomal RNA", at positions 28 to 507 of the family's 1533-position model. The record is from RNAcentral.
GAUGAACGCUGGCGGCGUGCCUAAUACAUGCAAGUCGAGCGAACAGACGAGGAGCUUGCUCCUCUGACGUUAGCGGCGGACGGGUGAGUAACACGUGGAUAACCUACCUAUAAGACUGGGAUAACUUCGGGAAACCGGAGCUAAUAUCGGAUAAUAUAUUGAACCGCAUGGUUCAAUAGUGAAAGACGGUUUUGCUGUCACUUAUAGAUGGAUCCGCGCCGCAUUAGCUAGUUGGUAAGGUAACGGCUUACCACGGCGACGAUGCGUAGCCGACCUGAGAGGGUGAUCGGCCACACUGGAACUGAGACACGGUCCAGACUCCUACGGGAGGCAGCAGUAGGGAAUCUUCCGCAAUGGGCGAAAGCCUGACGGAGCAACGCCGCGUGAGUGAUGAAGGUCUUCGGAUCGUAAAACUCUGUUAUUAGGGAAGAACAAAUGUGUAAGUAACUAUGCACGUCUUGACGGUACCUAAUCAGAAAGCCACGGCUAACUACGUG